This 497-nucleotide ribosomal RNA is filed under the name uncultured bacterium. RNAcentral's name for it is "partial 16S ribosomal RNA". It matches the Rfam family "Bacterial small subunit ribosomal RNA", at positions 28 to 507 of the family's 1533-position model. The record is from RNAcentral.
GAUGAACGCUGGCGGCGUGCCUAAUACAUGCAAGUCGAGCGAACGGACGAGAAGCUUGCUUCUCUGAUGUUAGCGGCGGACGGGUGAGUAACACGUGGAUAACCUACCUAUAAGACUGGGAUAACUUCGGGAAACCGGAGCUAAUACCGGAUGAUAUUUUGAACCGCAUGGUUCAAAAGUGAAAGACGGUCUUGCUGUCACUUAUAGAUGGAUCCGCGCUGCAUUAGCUAGUUGGUAAGGUAACGGCUUACCAAGGCAACGAUGCAUAGCCGACCUGAGAGGGUGAUCGGCCACACUGGAACUGAGACACGGUCCAGACUCCUACGGGAGGCAGCAGUAGGGAAUCUUCCGCAAAGGGCGAAAGCCUGACGGAGCAACGCCGCGUGAGUGAUGAAGGUCUUCGAAUCGUAAAACUCUGUUAUUAGGGAAGAACAUAUGUGUAAGUAACUGUGCACAUCUUGACGGUACCUAAUCAGAAAGCCACGGCUAACUACGUG